Oryza brachyantha (malo sina) is the source of this 532-nucleotide long non-coding RNA. RefSeq lists it as uncharacterized. NCBI's taxonomy places the organism in Eukaryota, Viridiplantae, Streptophyta, Magnoliopsida, Poales, Poaceae. The record is from RefSeq and is a predicted model, not a curated record. The transcript is spliced from 3 exons.
GGCCACCACCAGCUCCUCGGUGGGGCCGCCGCCGCCUUCCGCCUUCCGCCGGGAGGACACUGAGGGGGCCUUCUCCAUCCGCAUCAAGGACGCAGAUCCAGGCAUUGGCGUCGGCGUUAUCUUCGGAAAAAAGAAUUCUUGUUAUCUUAGGAUAACGACGGAGAUCCCUGCCAAACUAAAAAUGUUGGAGAUGAUGAUGAUGAUGAUGUCGAGUCUAUUGAAUUCCCAAAUUGUGUGGUGGCUAGCGGUUAGUAGCUAAUGAGGAAGUUCAAGUAUUGAGCCAUUGAGGUGUGAAGUGGUUGCCAACUUGCUAUGGAGAAGUGUGAACUAACCAUGUCUUUUAUGUGUGUUUGCAUGGAAAUAUUGGAAGAUGGAACUUGAUAACUUGAACCAUGUGUAAUUCUACUAUUAACUUAUAUGUACUAGCGUGCACUUGGACAAUGCACCUAAAUUUUAAUCAUUCGCAUGUGUUGUUAUGCUGUUCUUGUAUGCCAGACUACUAGUACGAGUCUCUAUUUUAUUGUUUUUUAUA